GAUGAACGCUGGCGGCGUGCCUAAUACAUGCAAGUCGAGCGAACAGACGCGGAGCUUGCUCCUCUGACGUUAGCGGCGGACGGGUGAGUAACACGUGGAUCACCUACCUAUAAGACUGGGAUAACUUCGGGAAACCGGAGCUAAUACCGGAUAAUAUAUUGAUCCGCAUGGUUCAAUAGCGAAAGACGGUUUUGCUGUCACUUAUAGAUGGAUCCUCGCCGCAUUAGCUAGUUGGUAAGGUAACGGCUUACCAAGGCCACGAUGCGUAGCCGACCUGAGAGGGUGAUCGGGCACACUGGAACUGAGAGGCGGUACAGACUCCGACGGGAGGCAGAAGUAGGGAAGCUUCGGAAAAGGGGGAAAGACUGACGGAGCAACGCCGGGCGAGUGAUGAAGGGCUGCGGGUCGUAAAACUCUGUUAUGAGGGAAGAACAAAUGUGGAAGGGACUAUGCACGUCGUGACGGUACCUGAUGAGGAAGCCACGGCUAACUACGUG
Molecule: ribosomal RNA, 497 nt
Filed under: uncultured bacterium
Lineage: Bacteria
Description: partial 16S ribosomal RNA
Rfam family: Bacterial small subunit ribosomal RNA
Source: RNAcentral